GCUUGAUGUUUGCACUUACUGAAAACCAACCCUCCUCGCAUCUGAUUGUAGAUAGCUGUAAAUAUUGUUCAAAGGUUUCAGAGAAGCGAAGGGAGAGCGUGCAGAUAAAGGAUGCCGUGGUGGGAGCGCGCAGUCUCCUGCGCAUUCUUUGUAUAGUCAAAACCUCCAAUCAGAAGUAGGACAGUUAAAGUUUUCUUCAUGUGAAAGCUUUACGUUGGGCUUUUUUUUUUUUUUUUUGUAUGCUGUAGCAAGAGAAGCACUGGCUUUAAAGGAGGAACUCUAUGGAGACCAGCUAUGUUAAAGGUGACUAAAUGAUAAGUUAUAAAAUGAAUAAUCAUACGAAUGGAUGCAGAAAGAUGUAAUUGAACCAUGAAAUUGUGGAACUUGGUGGAUAUUUUAAAUUUAGAAUAAUUUUUGCAAUUCCACACUCUUCUUUAAUUAAAAAAUGCUGCAGGUAUUUUCAUUAAAAUGUUGCUUGUACGAUGAUAUUUUCAUGGUUAAAUUACACAUUUAGUCUUAAUAUUGUUGGUAUGAUCACUUAUUUUAUGACAUCAAAUAUACUUAUUGCCUAGUAACAGCUAUAGUUUGGGCCUCCAUAGAUAACUACAUUGGUGGCACAGAUUGUUGUGUAGGACCAGGUAAAGUUUACUUGAGUUGUUUGCCACCAGUGAGGUCACAGGGUACUUUCUGUUCAUCUUGCUGAGGAGUCUCAUACAAUAAAGGGAGUGGGGUUCGGAUUUGUUCUUCUGUGGCUGCAAGGGAAACCUCAGACCAUGUGAAGCUUAGAGAACGAGCACUAAGUUAAACCUUUAUACUCAAGAAAAGCUGUGGUUUUCUGACACACCAGGCUUUUUGUUACCAGCGAGGGGCAGGUUGUGCUCCUGUCCAGCAGGGCUUCAUGCCACAGGAGCUAAAGGAAAUCGGUACCGGAGGAUCAAAAUACAAAAGAACUCCCACUCUUCCUGCCAAUCACUCAGGCUCACCCCUUUACAUUUCAUCUGAUCGCCUCAGAUCCUAAUGAGCAGUAUACGGCGGGGAAUUUAGCCUAGACUUUGUGGGUAACGUAGUUUGGUACUAUCGAGACGCUCUGGCCCUUCAUUCCUGCAUGGUCCCUAUUGGUGUUCCAGCCAGCAUGAGAACAAGGACACAAACUGUGAAUCAUCUUUGUAUUUUUUAAAUAAAUUCCUCUGCAACAUUUAUGGCUUUGGUUUUGUAAAUGGGUUAUUUCUUUUAAGCUCUCAUUGUUUUUGUAAAUGAUUUUUCUUUGGUUCUUCUUUUUUUCGUUGGGAUUUUUUCAUUUGACUAAUUAUAAUGUAUAGA
Long non-coding RNA from Astatotilapia calliptera (eastern happy), 1320 nucleotides. The record is from Ensembl. NCBI's taxonomy places the organism in Eukaryota, Metazoa, Chordata, Actinopteri, Cichliformes, Cichlidae.